CCUACGGGUGGCAGCAGUGGGGAAUAUUGCGCAAUGGGCGAAAGCCUGACGCAGCGCCGCCGCGUGAGGGAUGAAGGUCUUCGGAUCGUAAACCUCUGUCAGCAGGGAAGUACGGUAACUGUGCUAAUGAGCAGUGAAUUGACGGUACCUGCAAAGGAAGCACCGGCUAAAUACGUGACAGCAGCGGAGGUAAUACGGCGGGUGCGAGCGUUAAACGGAUGUACUUGGCGUAAAGCGCUCGUAGGCGGUAUGUCAAGUAAAGGGUGAAAUCACCGCGCUCAACGUGUGAACUGCCUUUGAAACUGGCACACUGGAGUUUGUGAGAGGCUAGUGGAAUUCCAGGUGUAGGAGUGAAAUCCGUAGAUAUCUGGAGGAACAUCAGUGGCGAAGGCGACUAUCUGGCACAUAACUGACGCUGAGGAGCGAAAGCGUGGGUAGCAAACAGGAUUAGAUACCCCGGUAGUC
RNAcentral lists this ribosomal RNA (465 nucleotides) under uncultured bacterium. RNAcentral's name for it is "partial 16S ribosomal RNA". It matches the Rfam family "Bacterial small subunit ribosomal RNA", at positions 338 to 795 of the family's 1533-position model. The record is from RNAcentral.